CCUACGGGAGGCUGCAGUGAGGAAGAUUGGUCAAUGGGCGCGAGCCUGAACCAGCCAAGUAGCGUGAAGGAUGACUGCCCUACGGGUUGUAAACUUCUUUUAUAAAGGAAUAAAGUGAGGCACGUGUGCCUUGUUGUAUGUACGUUAUGAAUAAGGAUCGGCUAACUCCGUGCCAGCAGCCGCGGUAAUACGGAGGAUCCGAGCGUUAUCCGGAUUUAUUGGGUUUACAGGGAGCGUAGAUGGGUUGUUAAGUCAGUUGUGAAAGUUUGCGGCUCAACCGUAAAAUUGCAAUUGAUACUGGCAGUCUUGAUUUCAGUUGAGGUCGGCGGCAUUCGUGUUGUAGCGGUG
This 348-nucleotide ribosomal RNA is filed under the name uncultured bacterium. RNAcentral's name for it is "partial 16S ribosomal RNA". It matches the Rfam family "Bacterial small subunit ribosomal RNA", at positions 338 to 683 of the family's 1533-position model. The record is from RNAcentral.